Molecule: ribosomal RNA, 497 nt
Filed under: uncultured bacterium
Lineage: Bacteria
Description: partial 16S ribosomal RNA
Rfam family: Bacterial small subunit ribosomal RNA
Source: RNAcentral
GAUGAACGCUGGCGGCGUGCCUAAUACAUGCAAGUCGAGCGAACGGACGAGAAGCUUGCUUCUCUGAUGUUAGCGGCGGACGGGUGAGUAACACGUGGAUAACCUACCUAUAAGACUGGGAUAACUUCGGGAAACCGGAGCUAAUACCGGAUAAUAUUUUGAACCGCAUGGUUCAAAAGUGAAAGACGGUCUUGCUGUCACUUAUAGAUGGAUCCGCGCUGCAUUAGCUAGUUGGUAAGGUAACGGCUUACCAAGGCAACGAUGCAUAGCCGACCUGAGAGGGUGAUCGGCCACACUUGAACUGAGACACGGUCCAGACUCCUACGGGAGGCAGCAGUAGGGAAUCUUCCGCAAUGGGCGAAAGCCUGACGGAGCAACGCCGCGUGAGUGAUGAAGGUCUUCGGAUCGUAAAACUCUGUUAUUAGGGAAGAACAUAUGUGUAAGUAACUGUUCACAUCUUGACGGUACCUAAUCAGAAAGCCACGGCUAACUACGUG